This 4449-nucleotide long non-coding RNA is filed under the name Capsella grandiflora. Its description in RNAcentral is "long non-coding RNA (CGRA_LNC000474)". Lineage: Eukaryota; Viridiplantae; Streptophyta; Magnoliopsida; Brassicales; Brassicaceae. The record is from RNAcentral.
GGUAGCUGCAGGUUGAGGGUUGAGCUGCACAGGUUGGAAGUUACUUCUUAAACCUGUGUAAUUUCUCAAAUGCGGCGCUGCAACAGCAACUGUGUGGCUUGAAGUGGCAUUACUAUGACUGAUUUCACGUAUUAUUAAACCACCUUGACUAAUUCUAUCAGAAGGCAAAGGCAGAUGACAGAACGUAUUAACAGUAGGUGGUUGAUCACGUGUUCUCGGACCACCUUGACUGAUUUUAUCAUUAGGCAAAGGCAAUGGAUCGAAUGCAUUGACAGUAGGUGGUUGAUCAGGUAUUGCCAUCUUUUUCGACUUAUCUGCAGGCGUUUUAUAAGUAUUGUAUCCAAAAACGUGGCAGUGGGUAUACCUGUUUUUGUCCAUGACAAGCAGUGGAAUACUCAACCAAAGAUAUUGCGAUUUGGAACCAAAAUAUCAUAUUUGACAAAAUAUUGAGAAAAUGACGGAAUUAGGUUUUGGAGAGGAAGAAGAGACCAGUAACUAUUGACAAUCUUUCUCAACCUAGCCUCCAGCCGCAGAAAUAGAGAAGACCUCUCAAAAUCUUGCUUAUCGUGGGCUGGUUCAAUGAAAUUUGCUUCAAGCACUCCUAGGGAACAGAUUCUGGUUAAUGAGUCUCUCCCCCAGGUCUUUACCCCCCAACAAAACAUAGUUCAUGAAAUCACAAAGGAGAAUGAAUAAUCGUACCCACAACACCAUUGCCUUUUGCUUCCCCUACAGCAUUGACCUUCCAGAAAGGCUGUAAAGGUGCAAGAGAUAUCUCAACUUAAUGCAACACAAAACGCUUAAGUAGCAAAUAUGCUGGCAAAUUAAUCUUUUGAUGUUCUAUUAAGCGAUUGCAUUCUCGUAUUACAAGUCUGAUUUCUAUGAAUUGUAAGGUAACAAUUUUACUACAGCUGCUUCUUUGGAUCAUGACAAUGUCUCCAAUAUGAAAGCGUACCCGAAUGAGACGGUUUUUGUGAUAGACAUUAACACCGCAAACUGCAAGCUUAGGCGCCUCCUUUAUAAAUCCAACUUUGAUUUCAGUGGGAGCCUGUAACAUGAACGCUUACAGGGGGUUUUUUUUUUCUCACAACCUAAACCUAGAAAACUAGAAUAAUGUCUGCAUACGAUAAUCACAAACAUUAUGGGGCUUGUACUUUAUAGCAAAUCAAGUAGCCAAAGCUCCACAACAAAACUAGAGAGUAGAAAAGAAAAAAAGAAGGGGAAGUCCAUUUUAUUUUACUUGUUCAUUUGUAGCGGUAUGGGGCUUGUACUUUAUAAUCUCAGGAACUCUUAAUUCAUCAGCAAUGUUGAACUGCUCCACAGGGCUUCCCCGAAGUAUAAUUUUGAAAUUGUUGAACUUUUUGAGAUAUAACAUUGACGCAUAAGUCUAAAAAUAAAGAGCUAACAAAGUGAAUCAAACAUCCUUGGAACAAAAAUUAUUAGAAAAGGAAGAAGAUAUUAAGGAGAUUACCCUCAGAGAGUAACGUAAGUGGUAUGAAAUAUGAGAUCUUAGUUCUAAUAAUUUAUGGUGCAACCGUUUUCCAUCAUGGACACCUUCAUCUCGGAGCCGGAUGUCCUUUACAAAUUUCAAAGUAUUAAGAUUAGACCUUAGACACCUCUGAAAACAUAUCUCAUAGAGUAUAUCAUAUGAAGAAUGUGUGAGUUACCUCAUUAUCAUCGUCAAAACUCAGCUCAUAGAGACCUUCAUCAUUAAGCCACAAGUUGUAUAUAAUCACUUUUGUUCCAUGUGUUCCAAUAUCCUCAAACUGGUAGGUGGAAGAUGGAAAUAUACGAAUGAAUUAAACAGCCCGCAUUCACAUGGAAUCAUAAUCUUCAGAAUGAAUCUAAGGGAACCGAAGCACAUUAGGACACCAAUCAAGGAACAAAAGUGAUGCAAUGAGAUAUUCAUAAGUUGACUUUAAACCUGCUGCCAAAGUUCAUCCUCUGUUGAAAACGGAGACCAUUUAAGUAAAAUUUCAAGAUUGGCAGCCCAAUCCUCUGGAGAUCCAUAAAUAAUUGGUUCUGGUUGCUCCUUAGAUAAAUCAAUAUCAAUCUGCAUUGCAUAUCUGAUCACUUGAGAACAAAAAAUAGUUGCACAUUCUAGAGUUUCCAACAAUCAUUUAUUUCAGGCAUGAAAUAAAAUCUACAAAUGCUGAAGAUUUUACCAUAGGAACAAUGAUAUCAUCCUGACUAGUUUUUCUGAGGAACGUGUAAGACAGAAGACCAACGCUCCGAGUAGAUUUGCUGAAACAGAAUAGAUAAAAAGGUUAAAAGAAGAGCAUAUGCCAGAUUCAGAGUGUACAAUGUACCAGAUAUAUCAAUACCCUCCACGGUUUGAGCGACUGAAAACAAUAGCAUCAGCUCCAAGUCUCAUGGUACUUGUCUUGAAACCAUUUCCAUCUAAACAAGAAAGGUGAAACUCUGGUUAGAGACCGCCUUUUCGAGACCAAAACACCAAGACCACCCAACCAGAAACAAGCUCAAUAUCUUAUUAACUAAGUCAAAAACUUACACUGUCCAAUCGUCGUAUUAGACUUCUUUGACGAGUAGCCUAAGCUCAUGCAUUUUCUGAGCCCAUCGGGAUCCAUCCCAGCGCCAUCAUCUUCAAGUGAAAAAGAAAAGAAAGACCAUAUCAUAGGCAAUACCCAAAGCCACGGUUAGGUAAAAGCAAUAAAAAAUUCAUACAAAAGCAGUACCUUGGAAAACUAAAGCUGGGGAAUUAUCUUUUGCAAUAUCGAUCUUAUCGAUCUUAACAAACGUAGCACCGUGUUGUAUCUGAGGCAUAAGCAAUUCGAUAUAACCAAGCAUUGUACCAAUGCUUAAAAACAUAAACUUAAAGAAAGCAUUUCACUCCUCACACAUACCUCGUCAACAGCAUUGUCAAGUAGCUCAGCGAUAGCUGCAAUACAUUACAAAGAAAUUGACAAAGAUGAUCAUCACAAAAUUGUUCAUUCUACACCUCGAAAGAGUAAGAAAAUCUUAAAUCUAUCUAACUGGUAGCUGCAACAGAGUCGAUUCACAUAGUUUUACCUCCAAACGCCCAUUUGUGCGAAGUAGCAUUUGAGUGAAGAAACUUUGGAUGAACUCGAGCAUGUUCAAGCAUACCUGUCAAAUACCACAAAUCAUAAUCGUGAUGCAUGCGUGUGUGUGUAUAUGUGAGGAAGCGAGAGAGAGAGGGAGAGAGAGAUGACCUGUAGCAUUUGGAGAAACACCGGUAGGGAUCACAAAGUUUUCUCCGGCCUUCCAGAAGCUCCGGCACUCUAGGGUUUCACGAGGAGCCACCGUCGCAUCCGCGAACGUACUUGGAACUUUCCGAUUCCCCAUUACCGACGACCCCAUGCUUCGAAAAGCUCCUCUUCCUCCCACUACGUCGUCACUGUCACUGUCACUGUCGAGGUUAAUAACAUCAGCCACUGCGUUUUUCGACUUCGGAAGCAUUUCCGGCGACGGUGAAAUCGAUUUUGACAAAACGAAUUUCGAAUUCAAUGAGAAGAACACCGCGCGUUCUCUUUUCCGAUUAAACUACUAAAACAUUUUCUUAGCUUCGACAAGAAGAAAAAGCAAACGUCAAACGUCUUUUCUCAGUCAUCAUCAUCAUCAUUGCUUUGCUUAUUAGUAUCUAAUCGGGCCACAAAGCCCAGUUACGUUACAAGCCCAUGUCCUAAAACUAAUUAACUAUAACUAAACUUAACUAAACUCUGUUGUAAACGUUUUACUAAACUUGCUGCUGCAUCUCCUUCUUCUUAGCAUCCACAAGCAAAGCAAGUUGUGCACAUUUACUUUUCAUUUCUUCCAGUUCUUUUUCCAAGCUCUUUACCUGUUUCAUUAAGCAAUUUAGUAUACCUCUGUUAGAGUCCAUGCAAUAUACAGAUGUUUUGUACUGGAAAAUCAAACUUACCGUCUGUUCUAUUUCAUUCUCUUUCUUUAUAUAUUCAUCGCACCUGUUGAAGCAUAAUAUUCGAUUGAGAUACCCAGAGUGAUAUGAUACUGUAAUGUGUUUUCCUCUUGUUAAGAGCAUAUAACUAUACCUCAUGAAGAGUUGUAAGUUCUCUUCGCUUAUCUCAUUCGCUGACUUGCCAACGAGGUUGUUUCCAGUAUCCUGCCAAGAUUUUUUAGCUUUAGAAAAAACUUUUGAAUCAAAUUACAUCAUCAAACUAAAUUCACUCACGGUAGCUGCAGGAUGAGGGUUGAGCUGCACGCCUUGGAAGUUACUUCUUAAACCUGUGGAAUUUCUCAUAUGUGGCGCUGGAACAGCAACUGUGCGGCUUGAUGUCGCGUUACUAAUACUGAUUUCACGUAUAAUCGGACCACCUUGACUAAAUUUAUCAGAAGGCAAAGGCGAAGGAUUUGAUGUAUUGACAGUUGGCAGUGGAUCAGGUAUCACUAUCCUCUUCGACUUAUCUGCAGGGAUUUGAGGAGUUUGGUAUCCGAAUAUGUGGCAGUGGCUUUGCC